ACCUACGGGGGGCAGCAGUAAGGGAUAUUGGUCAAUGGGGGAAACCCUGAACCAGCAACGCCGCGUGAGGGAAGACGGUUUUCGGAUUGUAAACCUCUGUCCUCUGUGAAGAUGAUGACGGUAGCAGAGGAGGAAGCUCCGGCUAACUACGUGCCAGCAGCCGCGGUAAUACGUAGGAUGCGAGCGUUAUCCGGAUUUAUUGGGUUUAAAGGGUGCGUAGGCGGAUUUUUAAGUCAGCGGUAAAAUGUCCGGGCUCAACCCG
RNAcentral lists this ribosomal RNA (262 nucleotides) under uncultured bacterium. RNAcentral describes it as "partial 16S ribosomal RNA". It matches the Rfam family "Bacterial small subunit ribosomal RNA", at positions 337 to 616 of the family's 1533-position model. The record is from RNAcentral.